RNAcentral lists this ribosomal RNA (301 nucleotides) under uncultured bacterium. Its description in RNAcentral is "partial 16S ribosomal RNA". It matches the Rfam family "Bacterial small subunit ribosomal RNA", at positions 509 to 807 of the family's 1533-position model. The record is from RNAcentral.
CAGCAGCCGCGGUAAUACGAAGGGUGCAAGCGUUACUCGGAAUUACUGGGCGUAAAGCGUGCGUAGGUGGUGGUUUAAGUCCGUUGUGAAAGCCCUGGGCUCAACCUGGGAAUUGCAGUGGAUACUGGGUCACUAGAGUGUGGUAGAGGAUAGUGGAAUUUCCGGUGUAUCAGUGAAAUGCGUAGAGAUCGGAAGGAACAUCUGUGGCGAAGGCGACUAUCUGGGCCAACACUGACACUGAGGCACGAAAGCGUGGGGAGCAAACAGGAUUAGAUACCCGCGUAGUCCCUGUCUCUUAUAC